Molecule: long non-coding RNA, 415 nt
Filed under: Fukomys damarensis (Damara mole-rat)
Lineage: Eukaryota; Metazoa; Chordata; Mammalia; Rodentia; Bathyergidae
Description: lncRNA (ENSFDAG00000030926.1)
Source: RNAcentral
UGAAAUAUGACAUCUGUGAGAGUCUCCUGUUGAACGCCAGGCCUCUCUCAGUGUGCUGAACUCUGCCGCCACCUGCAAGACCCAAAGGCCCAGAGACUGUGGCUUGUGAGAACUUCUGACAGCAAAGGACACGAUGUAGCAGAGUUCUCAGAGCUUGUCAGAACAACGAGACGUAAGAGUUCUCCCUAGACUGCAUAUAUCAAGCAUGAGAGCUGCUGAUUUGGUGAUGUCUCAGCCCUGGAGGAACCAGAAGCAACUUAGAGUAAAAGUAAGAAGAGCAAAGGUCCCAGAAGACGAGCACAGCUCCAGACAGAGUAAAGGAGAGAAAUCUACCACCAUCUCCUUCCCAUGGCAAGCAAGCAUCCCCAAUAAAAACUGUGCUGGACCAGACAGCGACAAAUGUUUGAAAAUUUGG